Molecule: unclassified non-coding RNA, 347 nt
Filed under: soil metagenome
Description: partial contains 5.8S ribosomal RNA, internal transcribed spacer 2, and large subunit ribosomal RNA
Rfam family: 5.8S ribosomal RNA (bases 1-120)
Source: RNAcentral
GAUGAAGAACGCAGCGAAAUGCGAUAAGUAAUGUGAAUUGCAGAAUUCAGUGAAUCAUCGAAUCUUUGAACGCACAUUGCGCCCGCCAGUAUUCUGGCGGGCAUGCCUGUCUGAGCGUCAUUUCAACCCUCAUGCCCCUAGGGCGUGGUGUUGGGGAUCGGCCAAAGCCCGCGAGGGACGGCCGGCCCCUAAAUCUAGUGGCGGACCCGUCGUGGCCUCCUCUGCGAAGUAGUGAUAUUCCGCAUCGGAGAGCGACGAGCCCCUGCCGUUAAACCCCCAACUUUCCAAGGUUGACCUCAGAUCAGGUAGGAAUACCCGCUGAACUUAAGCAUAUCAAAAGCGGAGGA